UACGGGGGGGGCAAGCGUUGUUCGGAAUUACUGGGCGUAAAGGGCUCGUAGGUGGCCAACUAAGUCAGACGUGAAAUCCCUCGGCUUAACCGGGGAACUGCGUCUGAUACUGGAUGGCUUGAGUUCGGGAGAGGGAUGCGGAAUUCCAGGUGUAGCGGUGAAAUGCGCAGAUAUCGGGAAGAACACCAGUGGCGAAAGCGCUCUACUGGGCCAUAACUGACACUGAGGGACGAAAGCUAGGGGAGCGAAAGGG
Molecule: ribosomal RNA, 253 nt
Filed under: uncultured bacterium
Lineage: Bacteria
Description: partial 16S ribosomal RNA
Rfam family: Bacterial small subunit ribosomal RNA
Source: RNAcentral